This 484-nucleotide ribosomal RNA is filed under the name Lamprotula leaii. RNAcentral describes it as "partial 16S ribosomal RNA". It matches the Rfam family "Bacterial large subunit ribosomal RNA", at positions 1816 to 2597 of the family's 2925-position model. Lineage: Eukaryota; Metazoa; Mollusca; Bivalvia; Unionida; Unionidae. The record is from RNAcentral.
CGUCUUCUGAUCACAAGCAUAGAAGAUAAUGCCUGCCCAGUGAAAUUUAAACGGCCGCGUUAGCGUGAGCGUGCUAAGGUAGCGUAAUAAAUAGCCUCUUAAUUGGAGGCCAGUGAAAGGCAAGACUAGGAACACCUGUGCUCUUUAUACCAAAAAAAUUUUUCAUCUAAGUGAAAAGACUUAGAUACUAAAGGAAGACGAAAAGACCCCGCGGAACUUCAUCUUUUCUUACACUACUGCCCAGUAGCACAAAGAUGUAAAAGAUUUGAUUGGGGCAAUCUCGGAACUACCCAAGCUUCCGAUUCCUACUAAAACACAUCUAAAAUUUGGUACAGACAAAACAGCAGUUACCCCGGGGAUAACAGCGUCAUCCAACUUAAGAGUACACAUCGAAAGUUGGGUUUGCGACCUCGAUGUUGGCUUAAGGUUAUCCACAUUAGUGCAACCGCUAUGAAAGGACAGUCUGUUCGACUUAUAUACCCUU